GCUCGGAUGGUCUAGUGGUAUGAUUCUCGCUUAGGGUUCCACUCUAAGCACCGAUACAUCGGCUUGCGAGAGGUCCCAGGUUCAAAUCCUGGUUCGAGCC
Molecule: non-coding RNA, 100 nt
Organism: Pyronema omphalodes
Lineage: Eukaryota; Fungi; Ascomycota; Pezizomycetes; Pezizales; Pyronemataceae
Source: the annotation of a GenBank genome assembly